RNA transcript from Physeter macrocephalus (sperm whale), 3463 nucleotides. It is a transcript of the gene named SET domain containing 4, with no coding region annotated. The transcript has 24 exons. NCBI's taxonomy places the organism in Eukaryota, Metazoa, Chordata, Mammalia, Artiodactyla, Physeteridae. The record is from RefSeq and is a predicted model, not a curated record.
GCGCGAAGGACCCUAAGAUUGGGCAAUUAAGCAGAAACUGCAGUUUUAGUAUGAAGAACGGAGGUGGAAGAACAAGCCGAAUCAGAAGACGAAAACUCUUCACAAGUUCUGAAUCAAGAGGAGUGAAUGAGAGCUACAAGCCUGAAUUUAUAGAGCUUAAGAAGUGGCUGAAAGAUAGGAAGUUUGAAGAUACAAACUUAAUACCUGCUCGUUUUCCAGGUACAGGAAGAGGGCUGAUGAGCAAAAGAUCCCUACGGGAGGGACAGAUGAUUAUCUCAUUGCCUGAGAGUUGCCUGCUCACCACGGACACAGUGCUUAGAAGCUACUUAGGGGCGUAUAUUGCUAAGUGGCAGCCUCCUCCAUCUCCUGUGCUGGCCCUUUGCACCUUUUUAGUUUCAGAAAAGCAUGCUGGGGACCGGUCUCCGUGGAAGCCUUACCUGGAGGUUUUGCCCAAGGCCUACACCUGCCCUGUUUGUUUGGAGCCAGAAGUGGUGAAUCUUCUUCCCAAACCUCUGAAAGCAAAGGCCAGAGAGCAGAGAACCCACGUGCAGGAGUUCGUUUCUUCCUCCAGAGACUUUUUCUCUUCCCUGCAGCCUCUGUUUUCGGAGCCCGUUGAGAGCAUCUUUAGCCGCGGCGCCCUCCUGUGGGCUUGGUGCACCGUCAACACCAGGGCCGUGUACAUGAGGCGCGCGCCGAGGCGGUGCUUUUCCGCAGAGCCGGACACCUGCGUGCUCGCCCCGUUCCUCGAUCUGCUGAACCACAGCCCUGACGCCCAGGUAACAGCAGCAUUUAAUGAGGAAACUCGCUGUUACGAAAUUAGAACAGCUGUGAGCUGUGGAAAACACAAAGAGGUGCUCAUCUGCUAUGGCCCUCACGAUAACCACCGCCUGCUCCUCGAGUAUGGAUUUGUUUCCACCCGCAAUCCUCAUGCUUGUGUUUAUGUCUCAAAAGAUAUACUUGUUAAAUAUCUUCCAUCAACAGAUAAAUGGAUGAACCAAAAGAUUUCCAUUUUAGAGGAUCACGACUUUAUAGAAAAUUUGACGUUUGGAUGGGAUGGACCGUCUUGGCGGUUACUCACAGCUCUUAAGUUGUUAUGUCUGGAAGCUGAAGAAUUGACAUGCUGGAAAAAAGUACUUAUUGGGGAAAUGAUUUCAGAUACAAAUGAGAAGGCAAGUUUGGACAUAGCCCAGAAAAUAUGCCUUUAUUUCAUCAAGGAGAGUAAGGCUGUGCUUCAAAAGGUUUCUCAUAUGAAAGAUGAAGUGGCGGCUUUGGUAAACCAACUAACUCUGGUAGAAACACUGUGGACAGAAGAGCUGAAGAUUCUCCAGGCCUCUGCUGAGACCCUGACCAGUUUGCAAACAGCUUUUACGUAACUUCACCAAAGUGCGGGUGAUCACCUCCAAUGCUGGGAGCCUGUACUGGCCCACAGGAACCAGACUUCUUUAUCACCAGUCGACUCACCUUCAGUACAUGAUAGCACGUUUGGCCAAGGUUGACGGACUGGAAAGCAGGAUCCAGUGGAUCACCUACCGAAGGAGGUGGAGAAGGAGGAAAUACUAAGCCAUGAAGAUCAUUGAUAUUUCCUGAAAUUAUAUUGCUAUUUCCUGUCUGAAGAGCUGUGAGGGUAUGUCUCUAGAACACUGCUCCUAAAAAUGGAGACCCUGACGGAAGCCCAGAGAAAUUAAGCAACAUACUCUCCUUCCGACAAGCUUUCCAGAACCUCGAAUUCCCAGCGUUAAGUAUGGUGACUCGAAGAAACUUGGAGCUGUGACAAGAUAGAGAUGGCACAUCCAAAGAAUGGGUUCGAAAUGGUGAACGAUUAAUGAUACCAUUGUCCUCCCAGCCCAUCCUAUGAGAAGAACCAUCCAUUUCCUCAAUUGCUCUGACCAGGAUUGGCCCUGUGCAUUAUGUAAGGGCACCAAAAGUGUAACUUGUUGCUAUUUGAUAAAGACGUUCUGCCAGCCCCUUACCUCCAGGGAAAUAAUAACCCAAUGAAAUAAGAUAUCUGAUUCAAGAGGGAAAAUUACAUGGCUUAAAAGAAAUCAGGAGGCAGAGUCAAGAUGGCAGUGUGGGAAGACGUGGAGUUCGUGUCUCGCCACAACUAGGGUGCCUUCCGGAAGCUGGUGGGGGAUCCUGACACCCAAGGACAUGGAAGAACCCCCAAGCAAACCGGUCCAGACUUUCCCGGACUCCCUCCCGGCUAGCUGUGGUGCACUAGCCCCCUUCAGGCUGUGUUUACGCAGCCAACCCCAGUCCUCUCCCUGGGAUCCGAUCUCUGAAGCCCGAGCCUCAGCUCCCAGCCCCUGCCCACCCCGGCAGGUGAGGAAAAUGAGACUCAGAGAAAUUAAACAGUUUGAUGAACCACACUAGGCACUGGGCCAGACCUGAGUGUCCCCAGGAGAAAGGAAGAUUCUCUGACUUUGCUUGGCUCACAGCCUGAAGGGACAGAGACUGAACCAACCAUCUCAUAAGCAGGAAGGCAGCUGUCUACAAUCCAGGAAGAGAGCUCCCACCAGAAACUGACCAUGCUGGCUCCUUGAUCUUGGACUUCUAGACUCGAGAGCUACAACUGAGAUGCUGAGUGCCAUUUUUAAAGGAGGAACUCUUCGCUUUACAACAGCAUUUUAUGUUGACGACCAGGCCAGAAAUGUGGAAAACACCCUUUCCCACCAUCUUCCAUUAAGAGAAAAGAGAAUUUGUGUUACUACUUGAAAAAUCAACUGCUUAAUCUUCGACUGAAAUUCCAGUCAGUAAAAUUAAUGGAGAGUGGGACAAUUUCACUAGAAACACCCCACGUCCUGAUUUGGUUGAAGUGUGAGGUGGCAAUGUCCCAAGAAAUGAGGGCAGGUCUUCUCUAAGCUCCUACAGGGCACCAGCAAAAACAAUGAUUUGAACCUCAGAGGGCACUUGGACAGGUGACUGAACAUUGCCGGAGUUGGCCUCGGGAUGUUUAAAAUGAAUAAAGACAAAUGAAUGAAAAUGCUGGCUUUUGGGCUGAGGAAAUGCAGAUGGAAACUCCAAACCUGGAAGAAAGAGCAACCUAUUCUGCGCAAAGCUUGACAAGGCUGGGUGCGUCUCUUCUUGGGGGAGGGAGCCGUGGGUGCAGGCAAUCCUCUUUAAUUUUCUUAGGGUAGAGUAGAGAAGCAUUCUGCUGUGGAGCUGAAGAUUUUUCUUUUCCUGUUCCUCUUGUUCAGAAAAAACUAUGUGUGAAUCAAGACAAUUGUCAUGUUACUGUCACAUCAUCCCCUGACUCUCAGUCCUACAUGAGCUAUUUUGGAGUCUUAGGAAGAGGCCUUGCGGCAGAACAGACUGUACAUGGAGUGAGGGGCCUACAGAAUUGUCAGAGGGCUGGAGGAGGGGCUCCAGGGUGGUCAUCUGGGGGACUCCAAGAACAAGUUGGGGCACUGGCCCUCUAGGGGAGCCACUACCUGGUACUGGAGGGGACUAGGAGACCACCAGUGAA